GGUGAACUGGCGCAGGGCAAGGCGCUGGACGUUUGGCAGGCGGCUGUGGAUUCAGGUUCCGAUACCCAUGUUCACGGC
Molecule: transfer RNA, 78 nt
Filed under: compost metagenome
Description: tRNA-Ala
Source: RNAcentral